AUGCAGGAAAGCAAGAGUUCUCCGGUACUUAGCAAGAAGGAUGACGGCGAGGAGGGCAUCACCGUCGACCUGUAUCCAUUCAUACGGGAAUACAAGGGCGGCCGUGUGGAGCGCUUACUGCACAGCCCAUUCGUGGCAGCGUCCAAGGACCCGGCAGCAAACCGUGGAGUUGCGACCAGGGACGUGGUCGUCGACGAGAGCACCGGCGUGUUCGCACGCCUGUUCCUUCCCUCCAUUGCAGCCGCCGCUACGGGGAUCGGCGGCGAGAGGCUUCCCGUCCUCAUGUACGUCCACGGCGGAUCCUUCUGCACGGGGAGCGCGUUCUCUCGCACUUACCACAGCUACACCAGGUCUCUGGCGGCCAGCGCCGGGGCGCUCGUCGUGUCCGUGGAGUACCGUCUCGCGCCGGAGCAUCCUGUGCCUGCAGCCUAUGAAGAUGCAUGGGCGGCGCUCCAGUGGGUGGUGUCCCUCUCUGAUCCGUGGCUGUCAGACUACGCAGACCUCGGGCGCACGUUCCUCGUUGGCGACAGUGCCGGCGGGAAUGUUGUCUACAACACGGCGGUGCGUGCGGCCAGUGGCGGUGGCAGCCACAUCCACAUCGAAGGGCUGGUCAUCGUGCACCCAUACUUCUGGGGGGUCGAGCGGCUGUCCAGCUCCGAGGCAGUCUGGGACGGCAUCGCCAUGUUUGCUCCCGAGGACGUCGACAGGCUCUGGCCGUUCAUUACGGCCGGCCGGCUGGGAAACGACGAUCCCUUGGUCAACCCCGUCGACGAGGAGAUCGCCUCGCUGACAUGCCGGCGUGUGCUGGUGGCCGUGGCCGAGAAGGACACCUUGCGUGACCGCGGGCGUCGGCUGGCAGCUCGCAUGCGCGACUGCUGCUCAUGGGCCGAUGAUGAAAACGCGGUGACAUUGAUAGAAUCAAAGGGAGAAGACCAUGGCUUCCACCUGUACAACCCACUGCGUGCGACCAGCAAGAUCCUCAUGGAGAGCAUCGUACGGUUCAUCAACCAGCGCACAGCCUUGCCGCUGCCAAAACUUCACGAGCUGCAUGCAUGCCAAGGUAAGACGAAGGCAUCGUCUCCGGGUGACAUGGACACAGCCGUCCAGCCUGUUCUAGGCGUGCCAACCAGGCCGUAUAUAGACGUACAUGGCUAUGGGACGUCCAUGAGAGUCACAGAUGUGACACGUAGUAGUUGCUUACGCAUUGGAAAUGGAAGAAAAGCAUCCAAAACAAGUUUUGGGUUGUUUUUGGGGCAUGUUAUCAGGCCAAACAUCACCAACAUGAGGUUCUCGUCAUCAGCAACAACAGCUCCUGAGACUUGUCUUUUUCACACCUUCAUCUAG
Molecule: ribosomal RNA, 1344 nt
Filed under: Triticum aestivum (bread wheat)
Lineage: Eukaryota; Viridiplantae; Streptophyta; Magnoliopsida; Poales; Poaceae
Description: partial small subunit ribosomal RNA
Source: RNAcentral